GAUGAACGCUAGCGGCAGGCCUAAUACAUGCAAGUCGAACGAGAUUAAGAGGCUUGCUUCUUAUGAAAGUGGCGCACGGGUGCGUAACGCGUAUGCAACCUACCUUAAUCAGGGGGAUAGCCCGAAGAAAUUCGGAUUAAGACCGCAUAAAAACACAGGAUAGCAUUAUCCAAUGUUCAAAUAUUUAUAGGAUUAAGAUGGGCAUGCGUGUCAUUAGCUAGUUGGCGGGGUAACGGCCCACCAAGGCGACGAUGACUAGGGGAUCUGAGAGGAUGACCCCCCACACUGGUACUGAGACACGGACCAGACUCCUACGGGAGGCAGCAGUAAGGAAUAUUGGUCAAUGGAGGGAACUCUGAACCAGCCAUGCCGCGUGCAGGAAGACAGCCCUCUGGGUCGUAAACUGCUUUUAUUCGGGAAUAAACCUUUCUACGUGUAGGAAGCUGAAUGUACCGAAGGAAUAAGAAUCGGCUAACUCCGUG
This 482-nucleotide ribosomal RNA is filed under the name uncultured bacterium. RNAcentral describes it as "partial 16S ribosomal RNA". It matches the Rfam family "Bacterial small subunit ribosomal RNA", at positions 28 to 507 of the family's 1533-position model. The record is from RNAcentral.